GAUGAACGCUGGCGGCGUGGAUAAGGCAUGCAAGUCAAGGGGGCCCGCAAGGGCAACCGGCAAACGGGGUAGUAACAGGUGGGAACGUACCUAGAAGUCAGGAAUAACCUGUCGAAAGACAGGCUAAUACCCGAUAGUCUCUAAGGAGUAAAGCUCCGGCGCUUCUAGAACGGCCCGCCCGCUAUCAGCUAGUUGGUAAGGUAAUGGCUUACCAAGGCGUAGACGGCUAGGGGAGGUGAGAGCCUGACCCCCACCACUGGGACUGCGACACUGCCCAGACACCUACGGGUGGCUGCAGUCGAGAAUCUUCCGCAAUGCACGAAAGUGUGACGGAGCGACGCCGCGUGAUUGAUGAAGCUCUUCGGAGUGUAAAGAUCUUUUAUGAGGGAAGAAGUUUAUUGACGGUACCUCAUGAAUAAGGGGCUGCUAACCUCGUGCCAGCAGCAGCGGUAAUACGAGGGCCCCGAGCGUUAUCCGGAAUUAUUGGGCGUAAAGGGUGUGUAGGUGGUUGUAUUAGUCUUGUGUUAAAGCCUGUUGCCUAACAACAGAAUCGCACGGGAAACGGUACAACUAGGAGGGUGCAAGGGGUGUACGGAACUCAUGGUGUAGGGGUGAAAUCCGUUGAUAUCAUGGGGAACGCCAAAAGCGAAGGCAGUACACUGGUGCAUACCUGACACUGAAACACGAAAGCGUGGGUAGCGAAUGGGAUUAGAUACCCCAGUAGUCCACGCCCUAAACGAUGACAACUAGCUUUUCGGAGUAUCGACCCUCUGAGAGGCGAAGCUAACGCGUUAAGUUGUCCGCCUGGGUAGUACGACCGCAAGGUUAAAACUCAAAGGAAUAGACGGGGGCUCGCACAAGCGGUGGAUCAUGUGGUUUAAUUCGACGCUAANNNAAGAACCUCACCGAGGCUAGACAUCCAGACGAAUCGUAGAGGAAACUUUACGAGCCUUCGGGCGGCUGGACAGGUGAUGCAUGGCUGUCGUCAGUUCGUGGCNNGAGCUGUUCCCUUAAGUGGGGUAACGAACGCAACCCCUAUUGUCUGUUAUACGUGUCAGACAAGACUGCCCAGCACAGAGAACAUGUAGCACAAAACAUGUAGCAUGUAGCAAAUAUUUUUUGUUACACGCUUCAUGUUACAUGUGUUCGUGGAUUCUGUGCUGGGAGGAAGGUGGGGAUGACGCCAAGUCAGCAUGUCCCUCUGAUGCCUCGGGCUACACACGUGAUACAAUGGGUGGUACAACGGGUCGCGCGGCGGUAACGCCAAGCCAAUCCUAAUAAAGCCAUCCUCAGUUCGGAUUGAGGUCUGCAACUCGACCUCAUGAAGUUGGAAUCGCUAGUAAUCGUGGGUCAGAAUACCACGGUGAAUACGUUCUCGAGCCU
Molecule: ribosomal RNA, 1383 nt
Filed under: uncultured soil bacterium
Lineage: Bacteria
Description: bacterial SSU rRNA
Rfam family: Bacterial small subunit ribosomal RNA
Source: RNAcentral